AACAAGGCGUACCUGCGGACCUGCGGAGGGAUCAUUACAAGUGACCCCGGUUUACCACCGGGAUGUUCAUAACCCUUUGUUGUCCGACUCUGUUGCCUCCGGGGCGACCCUGCCUUCGGGCGGGGGCUCCGGGUGGACACUUCAAACUCUUGCGUAACUUUGCAGUCUGAGUAAACUUAAUUAAUAAAUUAAAACUUUCAGCAACGGAUCU
RNAcentral lists this unclassified non-coding RNA (211 nucleotides) under soil metagenome. RNAcentral describes it as "partial contains 5.8S ribosomal RNA, internal transcribed spacer 2, and large subunit ribosomal RNA". The record is from RNAcentral.